Molecule: ribosomal RNA, 464 nt
Filed under: uncultured bacterium
Lineage: Bacteria
Description: bacterial SSU rRNA
Rfam family: Bacterial small subunit ribosomal RNA
Source: RNAcentral
CCAGACUCCUACGGGAGGCAGCAGUGAGGAAUAUUGGUCAAUGGGCGAGAGCCUGAACCAGCCAAGUCGCGUGAAGGAUGACGGCCCUACGGGUUGUAAACUUCUUUUGUCAGGGAGCAAUUGGGUCCACGUGUGGGCUUAGCGAGAGUACCUGAAGAAAAAGCAUCGGCUAACUCCGUGCCAGCAGCCGCGGUAAUACGGAGGAUGCGAGCGUUAUCCGGAUUUAUUGGGUUUAAAGGGUGCGUAGGCGGAUCGUUAAGUCAGUGGUCAAAUUGAGGGGCUCAACCCCAUCCAGCCGUUGAAACUGGCAGUCUCGAGUUGGAGAGAAGUAUGCGGAAUGCGCGGUGUAGCGGUGAAAUGCAUAGAUAUCGCGCAGAACUCCGAUUGCGAAGGCAGCAUGCCGGCUCCACACUGACGCUGAGGCACGAAAGCGUGGGUAUCGAACAGGAUUAGAUACCCUCGUA